UACGAGGGGGGCAAGCGUUGUUCGGAAUUAUUGGGCGUAAAGGGUGCGUAGGCUGUGCGGUAAGUCACCUGUGAAAUCUCCGAGCUCAACUCGGAGCCUGCAGGCGAUACUGCCGUGCUGGAGUAUGGGAGAGGUGCGUGGAAUUCCCGGUGUAGCGGUGAAGUGCGUAUAUAUCGGGAGGAACCCCUGUGGCGAAAGCGGCGCACUGGACCAUUACUGACGCUGAUGCACGAAAGCGAGGGGAGCAAACAGG
Molecule: ribosomal RNA, 253 nt
Filed under: uncultured bacterium
Lineage: Bacteria
Description: partial 16S ribosomal RNA
Rfam family: Bacterial small subunit ribosomal RNA
Source: RNAcentral